CAAAAACACAAAAACUUAACACUGAGCAAUGAACCUUGAAAAUGAGGUCAAGGUCAGAUGACACCUGCCAGCUAGACAUGUACACCUUACAAUCAUUCCAUACACCAAAUAUAGUUGAACUAUUGCAUAUAGUAUUAGAAAAAAAGACAAAAACUCAAAAACUUAACUUUGACCACUGAACCAUGAAAAUGAGGUCAAGGUCAGAUGACACCUGCCAGCUAGACAUGUACACCUUACAAUCAUUCCAUACACCAAAUAUAGAAGACCUAUUGCAUACAGUAUAAGAAAAAACAGACCAAAACACAAAAACUUAACUAUAACCACUGAACCAUGAAAAUGAGGUCAAGGUCAGAUGACACCUGCCAGCUAGACAUGUACACCUUACAAUCAUUCCAUACACCAAAUAUAGAAGACCUAUUGCAUACAGUAUAAGAAAAACAGACCAAAACACAAAAACUUAACUAUAACCACUGAACCAUGAAAAUGAGGUCAAGGUCAGAUGACACCUGCCAGUUGGACAUGUACACCUUACAGUCCUUCCAUACACCGAAUAUACUAGACCUAUUGCUUAUAGUAUCUGAGAUAUGGACUUGACCACGAAAACUUAACCUUGUUCACUGAUCCAUGAAAUGAGGUCGAGGUCAAGUGAAAACUGUCUGACGGGCAUGAGGACCUUGCAAGGUACGCACAUACCAAAUAUAGUUAUCCUAUUACUUAUAAUAAGAGAGAAUUUAACA
Molecule: long non-coding RNA, 737 nt
Organism: Mytilus californianus (California mussel)
Lineage: Eukaryota; Metazoa; Mollusca; Bivalvia; Mytilida; Mytilidae
Exons: 2
Source: RefSeq, a predicted model, not a curated record